CGCGCGGAGGUCAUUGCUAUCGGAGUCCGAUUUAGCCAUGCUAGUCGUACGGGUUCAGACCCGUGGCGAAUAGCUCCGUAACACGUGGUCAAACUACCCUGUGGAGGACCAUACCCUCGGGAAACUGAGGCUAAUAGUCCAUACGAUCCCCGAGCUGGAAUGCUGGGGACCCGAAAUGCUCCGGCGCCACAGGAUGUGACUGCGGCCGAUUAGGUAGACGGUGGGGUAACGGCCCACCGUGCCGAUAAUCGGUACGGGUUGUGAGAGCAAGAGCCCGGAGACGGAAUCUGAGACAAGAUUCCGGGCCCUACGGGGCGCAGCAGGCGCGAAACCUUUACACUGCACGCACGUGCGAUAAGGGGACUCCGAGUGCGAGGGCAUACAGUCCUCGCUUUUCUGAACCGUAGGGAGGUUCAGGAACAAGAGCUGGGCAAGACCGGUGCCAGCCGCCGCGGUAAUACCGGCAGCUCGAGUGAUGACCGAUUUUAUUGGGCCUAAAGCGUCCGUAGCCGGCCAGCCAAGUCCGUCGGGAAAUCCAGUCGCUCAACGACUGGGCGUCCGGCGGAAACUAGCUGGCUUGGGGCCGGAAGACCCAGGGGGUACGUCCGGGGUAGGAGUGAAAUCCCGUAAUCCUGGACGGACCGCCGAUGGCGAAAGCACCCUGGGAAGACGGACCCGACGGUGAGGGACGAAAGCUAGGGUCUCGAACCGGAUUAGAUACCCGGGUAGUCCUAGCCGUAAACGAUGCUCGCUAGGUGUGGCACAGGCUACGAGCCUGUGCUGUGCCGUAGGGAAGCCGAGAAGCGAGCCGCCUGGGAAGUACGUCCGCAAGGAUGAAACUUAAAGGAAUUGGCGGGGGGAGCACUACAACCCGGAGGAGCCUGCGGUUUAUUGUCUCUAC
RNAcentral lists this ribosomal RNA (901 nucleotides) under uncultured archaeon. Its description in RNAcentral is "bacterial SSU rRNA". It matches the Rfam family "Archaeal small subunit ribosomal RNA", at positions 14 to 916 of the family's 1478-position model. The record is from RNAcentral.